UACGAAGGGGGCGAGCGUUAUUCGGAAUCACUGGGCGUAAAGCGUGCGUAGGCUGUUUCGCAAGUUGGAAGUGAAAGCCCGGGGCUCAACCCCGGAAUUGCUUUCAAAACUGCGAGACUCGAAUUCGGGAGAGGAUAGCGGAAUUUCCAGUGUAGUAGUGAAAUACGUAGAUAUUGGAAGGAACACCAGUGGCGUAAGCGGCUAUCUGGACCGACAUUGACGCUGAGGCACGAAAGCGUGGGGAUCAAACAGG
Molecule: ribosomal RNA, 253 nt
Filed under: uncultured bacterium
Lineage: Bacteria
Description: partial 16S ribosomal RNA
Rfam family: Bacterial small subunit ribosomal RNA
Source: RNAcentral